Oncorhynchus tshawytscha (Chinook salmon) is the source of this 753-nucleotide long non-coding RNA. The record is from Ensembl. NCBI's taxonomy places the organism in Eukaryota, Metazoa, Chordata, Actinopteri, Salmoniformes, Salmonidae.
GGACUUCAUACUGACACAUUAAAAAGUGAAAUAACUAAAACCAGCAGAUGACUGCCCUCCAUGGAAUGAGUUUGGACACCUUCUGAUCUAGUGCCUUUCGACAGAAGCACAGAUCCAGGAACAGUCUCCAUUUCCUCAACCUUAACUAGUGUAGUAUAAGUUAACUACUAGGGGGGGGGAUCUGCAUGAAAACUGACCUGAGAUCAGUGUCGUGUUUUAUAAGAUGACCACUUCCUCUCUUUUACAGGUGACAUUCCUUUCCUCCUUAAACAUGUGUCGCUUUGUAUUCCUUCCCCCACUGAUUCAGUAGCAGGAAGGAGUUUUGAGGUGUCGCGUUGUAUUCCUUCCCCCACUGAUUCAGUAGCAGGAAGGAGUUUUGAGGUGUCGCGUUGUAUUCCUCCCCCCACUGAUUCAGUAGCAGGAAGGAGUUUUGAGGUGUCGCGUUGUAUUCCUUCCCCCACUGAUUCAGUAGCAGGAAGGAGUUUUGAGGUGUCACGUUGUAUUCCCUCCCCCACUGAUUCAGUAGCAGGAAGGAGUUUUGAGGUGUCGCGUUUUAUUCCCUCCCCCACUGAUUCAGUAGCAGGAAGGAGUUGAGGUGUCGCGUUUUAUUCCCUCCCCCCCACUGAUUCAGUAGCAGGAAGGAGUUUUGAGGUGUUACGAUAUCAUAGAGCCUUUUAGCGUCACAGAAUACCAGUCUACUGAUAGCAUUAAUACAACGUUUGUUAGUUUGUACAUAUACCAGUAAUAGGAUCC